UGGACAUCACUCUAUUUAUGUGAUGUGAAGGUUAAACUCUGUUAAACGUUGGAGAACAGAGAAGACCCCAGUACAAACAUCACACACCAUGUUCUCUACAUCUCUACUGCUCCUGCUGGCAGCUGCUUCCUAUGUGCAUGGUGAGGAACUGACUCAGCCUGCUUCCAUGACAGUCCAGCCAGGACAGAGUCUCUCCAUCAACUGCAAGGUUUCAUAUUCAGUUACGAGCUAUCAUACACAUUGGAUUCGACAACCUGCAGGAAAAACUCUGGAGUGGAUUGGGUACAUCAGUGGCGGUGGGAGUCUAUAUUACAGUGACAAACUGAAAAACAAGUUCAGCAUCUCCAGAGACACGUCUACUAACACAAUAACAAUUCGAGGACAGAACAUGCAGACUGAAGACACAGCUGUGUAUUACUGCGCUGGAGGCCCCACACAGAGGACACAGCUGUGUAUUACUGCGCACGAACCACAGUAG
Molecule: non-coding RNA, 478 nt
Organism: Silurus meridionalis
Lineage: Eukaryota; Metazoa; Chordata; Actinopteri; Siluriformes; Siluridae
Source: the annotation of a RefSeq genome assembly